Molecule: long non-coding RNA, 145 nt
Organism: Sapajus apella (tufted capuchin)
Lineage: Eukaryota; Metazoa; Chordata; Mammalia; Primates; Cebidae
Exons: 3
Source: RefSeq, a predicted model, not a curated record
CAGAAUUUUUUUCCUGAUCAUUAUUUUUAAAACAGUACAGUAUAACAACUAUUUACAUAACAUUUACAUGGUAUUAGGUAUUGUAAAUCAUCCAGAGAUCAUUUAAAGUACAUGGGAGGAUGUGCAUAAGCUCUAUGCAAAUAUU